ACGUGGGUAACCUACCUAUAAGACUGGAAUAACUUCGGGAAACCGGAGCUAAUGCCGGAUAACAUUUGGAACCGCAUGGUUCUAAAGUAAAAGAUGGUUUUGCUAUCACUUAUAGAUGGACCCGCGCCGUAUUAGCUAGUUGGUAAGGUAACGGCUUACCAAGGCAACGAUACGUAGCCGACCUGAGAGGGUGAUCGGCCACACUGGAACUGAGACACGGUCCAGACUCCUACGGGAGGCAGCAGUAGGGAAUCUUCCGCAAUGGACGAAAGUCUGACGGAGCAACGCCGCGUGAGUGAUGAAGGUUUUCGGAUCGUAAAACUCUGUUAUUAGGGAAGAACAAAUGUGUAAGUAACUGUGCACAUC
RNAcentral lists this ribosomal RNA (366 nucleotides) under uncultured bacterium. RNAcentral describes it as "bacterial SSU rRNA". It matches the Rfam family "Bacterial small subunit ribosomal RNA", at positions 115 to 468 of the family's 1533-position model. The record is from RNAcentral.